AUUGAACGCUGGCGGCAUGCCUUACACAUGCAAGUCGAACGGCAGCAUGGAGAGCUUGCUCUCUGAUGGCGAGUGGCGAACGGGUGAGUAAUGCAUCGGAACGUACCGUGUAAUGGGGGAGUAACGUAGCGAAAGUUACGCUAAUACCGCAUACGACCUGAGGGUGAAAGCAGGGAGUCGCAAGACCUUGCGUUAUACGAGCGGCCGAUGUCAGAUUAGCUAGUUGGUGAGGUAAAGGCUCACCAAGGCGACGAUCUGUAGCGGGUCUGAGAGGAUGAUCCGCCACACUGGGACUGAGACACGGCCCAGACUCCUACGGGAGGCAGCAGUGGGGGAA
RNAcentral lists this ribosomal RNA (337 nucleotides) under uncultured bacterium. RNAcentral describes it as "bacterial SSU rRNA". It matches the Rfam family "Bacterial small subunit ribosomal RNA", at positions 30 to 362 of the family's 1533-position model. The record is from RNAcentral.